RNAcentral lists this transfer RNA (72 nucleotides) under Phrynosoma platyrhinos (Desert horned lizard). RNAcentral's name for it is "tRNA-OTHER". The record is from RNAcentral. Lineage: Eukaryota; Metazoa; Chordata; Lepidosauria; Squamata; Phrynosomatidae.
GCCUUUGUGGCAUAGUGGUUUGAGUGUUGGACUACGACUCUGAAGACCAGAGUUCAGUUCCUAGCUCAGCCA